RNAcentral lists this microRNA precursor (147 nucleotides) under Arabidopsis lyrata. RNAcentral describes it as "miR4221 stem-loop (aly-MIR4221)". The stretch from base 16 to 130 matches the Rfam family "MIR4221 microRNA precursor family". Lineage: Eukaryota; Viridiplantae; Streptophyta; Magnoliopsida; Brassicales; Brassicaceae. The record is from miRBase by way of RNAcentral.
CUAGUAUACCAGUUAACAGUUUUCCUGCUUUUGAAUUCUUGCACUAGCUUCCAUUGAUAGAUAAUGGUUACAUUUUGGUGCUGCAACUCUUGUGGUAGCUAGUACAAGAGUUCAAAAGUAGUGAAGAUGUUAUUUGGAUACCAUAUA